Molecule: ribosomal RNA, 486 nt
Filed under: uncultured bacterium
Lineage: Bacteria
Description: bacterial SSU rRNA
Rfam family: Bacterial small subunit ribosomal RNA
Source: RNAcentral
GAUGAACGUUGGCGGCGUGCCUAAUACAUGCAAGUCGAACGGAGACGGUAGCAAUACGGUCUCAGUGGCGAACGGGUGAGUAACGCGUUGGUGACCUGCCCCGAAGUGUGGAAUAACAGAUCGAAAGAGCUGCUAAUACCGCAUAAUAUCCAGAGGAUUAGAUGCCUUUGGAUUAAAGGAUUUAUUCGCUUCGGGAGGGGCCUGCGUCCCAUCAGCUAGUUGGUAAGGUAAUGGCUUACCAAGGCGAUGACGGGUAGGGGACCUGAGAGGGUGGCCCCCCACAAUGGAACUGAAACACGGUCCAUACACCUACGGGUGGCAGCAGUAGGGAAUAUUAGUAAUGGGCGAAAGCCUGAACUAGCAACGCCGCGUGUGCGAAGAAGGCCUUCGGGUUGUAAGACACUUUUGAGAGGAUGAGGAAGGACGGUACUCUCAGAAUAAGUCUCGGCUAACUACGUGCCAGCAGCCGCGGUAAACGUAAGCGUG